This 255-nucleotide ribosomal RNA is filed under the name uncultured bacterium. RNAcentral's name for it is "partial 16S ribosomal RNA". It matches the Rfam family "Bacterial small subunit ribosomal RNA", at positions 524 to 776 of the family's 1533-position model. The record is from RNAcentral.
UACGUAGGGCGCAAGCGUUGUCCGGAAUUAUUGGGCGUAAAGAGCUCGUAGGCGGCUUGUCACGUCUGCUGUGAAAUCCCGGGGCUUAACCCCGGGCGUGCAGUGGAUACGGGCAGGCUGGAGGCAGGCAGGGGAGAACGGAAUUCCCGGUGUAGCAGUGAAAUGCGUAGAGAUCGGGAGGAACAUCUGUGGCGAAGGCGGCCAUCUGGACCAGCACUGACACUGAGGCACGAAAAGCGUGGGGAGCAAAACAGG